This 479-nucleotide ribosomal RNA is filed under the name uncultured bacterium. Its description in RNAcentral is "partial 16S ribosomal RNA". It matches the Rfam family "Bacterial small subunit ribosomal RNA", at positions 28 to 507 of the family's 1533-position model. The record is from RNAcentral.
GAUGAACGCUGGCGGCGUGCUUAACACAUGCAAGUCGAACGAAGCACUUAAGAUUGCUUCUUCGGAUGACGUCUUUUGUGACUUAGUGGCGGACGGGUGAGUAACGCGUGGGUAACCUGCCUCACACAGGGGGAUAACAGUUAGAAAUGACUGCUAAUACCGCAUAACCCGAUAGGAUCGCAUGAUCCAGACGGAAAAGAUUUAUCGGUGUGAGAUGGACCCGCGUCUGAUUAGCUAGUUGGUGAGGUAACGGCCCACCAAGGCGACGAUCAGUAGCCGGCCUGAGAGGGUGAACGGCCACAUUGGGACUGAGACACGGCCCAAACUCCUACGGGAGGCAGCAGUGGGGAAUAUUGCACAAUGGGGGAAACCCUGAUGCAGCGACGCCGCGUGAGUGAAGAAGUAUUUCGGUAUGUAAAGCUCUAUCAGCAGGGAAGAAAAUGACGGUACCUGACCAAGAAGCCCCGGCUAACUACGUG